This 2926-nucleotide ribosomal RNA is filed under the name Escherichia coli. RNAcentral's name for it is "23S ribosomal RNA". It matches the Rfam family "Bacterial large subunit ribosomal RNA". The record is from RNAcentral. Lineage: Bacteria; Pseudomonadati; Pseudomonadota; Gammaproteobacteria; Enterobacterales; Enterobacteriaceae.
GGGUUGUGAGGUUAAGCGACUAAGCGUACACGGUGGAUGCCCUGGCAGUCAGAGGCGAUGAAGGACGUGCUAAUCUGCGAUAAGCGUCGGUAAGGUGAUAUGAACCGUUAUAACCGGCGAUUUCCGAAUGGGGAAACCCAGUGUGAUUCGUCACACUAUCAUUAACUGAAUCCAUAGGUUAAUGAGGCGAACCGGGGGAACUGAAACAUCUAAGUACCCCGAGGAAAAGAAAUCAACCGAGAUUCCCCCAGUAGCGGCGAGCGAACGGGGAGGAGCCCAGAGCCUGAAUCAGUGUGUGUGUUAGUGGAAGCGUCUGGAAAGGCGCGCGAUACAGGGUGACAGCCCCGUACACAAAAAUGCACAUGCUGUGAGCUCGAUGAGUAGGGCGGGACACGUGGUAUCCUGUCUGAAUAUGGGGGGACCAUCCUCCAAGGCUAAAUACUCCUGACUGACCGAUAGUGAACCAGUACCGUGAGGGAAAGGCGAAAAGAACCCCGGCGAGGGGAGUGAAAAAGAACCUGAAACCGUGUACGUACAAGCAGUGGGAGCACGCUUCGGCGUGUGACUGCGUACCUUUUGUAUAAUGGGUCAGCGACUUAUAUUCUGUAGCAAGGUUAACCGAAUAGGGGAGCCGAAGGGAAACCGAGUCUUAACUGGGCGUUAAGUUGCAGGGUAUAGACCCGAAACCCGGUGAUCUAGCCAUGGGCAGGUUGAAGGUUGGGUAACACUAACUGGAGGACCGAACCGACUAAUGUUGAAAAAUUAGCGGAUGACUUGUGGCUGGGGGUGAAAGGCCAAUCAAACCGGGAGAUAGCUGGUUCUCCCCGAAAGCUAUUUAGGUAGCGCCUCGUGAAUUCAUCUCCGGGGGUAGAGCACUGUUUCGGCAAGGGGGUCAUCCCGACUUACCAACCCGAUGCAAACUGCGAAUACCGGAGAAUGUUAUCACGGGAGACACACGGCGGGUGCUAACGUCCGUCGUGAAGAGGGAAACAACCCAGACCGCCAGCUAAGGUCCCAAAGUCAUGGUUAAGUGGGAAACGAUGUGGGAAGGCCCAGACAGCCAGGAUGUUGGCUUAGAAGCAGCCAUCAUUUAAAGAAAGCGUAAUAGCUCACUGGUCGAGUCGGCCUGCGCGGAAGAUGUAACGGGGCUAAACCAUGCACCGAAGCUGCGGCAGCGACACUAUGUGUUGUUGGGUAGGGGAGCGUUCUGUAAGCCUGCGAAGGUGUACUGUGAGGUAUGCUGGAGGUAUCAGAAGUGCGAAUGCUGACAUAAGUAACGAUAAAGCGGGUGAAAAGCCCGCUCGCCGGAAGACCAAGGGUUCCUGUCCAACGUUAAUCGGGGCAGGGUGAGUCGACCCCUAAGGCGAGGCCGAAAGGCGUAGUCGAUGGGAAACAGGUUAAUAUUCCUGUACUUGGUGUUACUGCGAAGGGGGGACGGAGAAGGCUAUGUUGGCCGGGCGACGGUUGUCCCGGUUUAAGCGUGUAGGCUGGUUUUCCAGGCAAAUCCGGAAAAUCAAGGCUGAGGCGUGAUGACGAGGCACUACGGUGCUGAAGCAACAAAUGCCCUGCUUCCAGGAAAAGCCUCUAAGCAUCAGGUAACAUCAAAUCGUACCCCAAACCGACACAGGUGGUCAGGUAGAGAAUACCAAGGCGCUUGAGAGAACUCGGGUGAAGGAACUAGGCAAAAUGGUGCCGUAACUUCGGGAGAAGGCACGCUGAUAUGUAGGUGAAGCGACUUGCUCGUGGAGCUGAAAUCAGUCGAAGAUACCAGCUGGCUGCAACUGUUUAUUAAAAACACAGCACUGUGCAAACACGAAAGUGGACGUAUACGGUGUGACGCCUGCCCGGUGCCGGAAGGUUAAUUGAUGGGGUCAGCGGUAACGCGAAGCUCUUGAUCGAAGCCCCGGUAAACGGCGGCCGUAACUAUAACGGUCCUAAGGUAGCGAAAUUCCUUGUCGGGUAAGUUCCGACCUGCACGAAUGGCGUAAUGAUGGCCAGGCUGUCUCCACCCGAGACUCAGUGAAAUUGAACUCGCUGUGAAGAUGCAGUGUACCCGCGGCAAGACGGAAAGACCCCGUGAACCUUUACUAUAGCUUGACACUGAACAUUGAGCCUUGAUGUGUAGGAUAGGUGGGAGGCUUUGAAGUGUGGACGCCAGUCUGCAUGGAGCCGACCUUGAAAUACCACCCUUUAAUGUUUGAUGUUCUAACGUUGGCCCCUGAUCGGGGUUGCGGACAGUGUCUGGUGGGUAGUUUGACUGGGGCGGUCUCCUCCUAAAGAGUAACGGAGGAGCACGAAGGUUGGCUAAUCCUGGUCGGACAUCAGGAGGUUAGUGCAAUGGCAUAAGCCAGCUUGACUGCGAGCGUGACGGCGCGAGCAGGUGCGAAAGCAGGUCAUAGUGAUCCGGUGGUUCUGAAUGGAAGGGCCAUCGCUCAACGGAUAAAAGGUACUCCGGGGAUAACAGGCUGAUACCGCCCAAGAGUUCAUAUCGACGGCGGUGUUUGGCACCUCGAUGUCGGCUCAUCACAUCCUGGGGCUGAAGUAGGUCCCAAGGGUAUGGCUGUUCGCCAUUUAAAGUGGUACGCGAGCUGGGUUUAGAACGUCGUGAGACAGUUCGGUCCCUAUCUGCCGUGGGCGCUGGAGAACUGAGGGGGGCUGCUCCUAGUACGAGAGGACCGGAGUGGACGCAUCACUGGUGUUCGGGUUGUCAUGCCAAUGGCACUGCCCGGUAGCUAAAUGCGGAAGAGAUAAGUGCUGAAAGCAUCUAAGCACGAAACUUGCCCCGAGAUGAGUUCUCCCUGACUCCUUGAGAGUCCUGAAGGAACGUUGAAGACGACGACGUUGAUAGGCCGGGUGUGUAAGCGCAGCGAUGCGUUGAGCUAACCGGUACUAAUGAACCGUGAGGCUUAACCUUACAACGCCGAAG